Molecule: ribosomal RNA, 30 nt
Filed under: Meira sp. 14 YHW-2013
Lineage: Eukaryota; Fungi; Basidiomycota; Exobasidiomycetes; Exobasidiales; Brachybasidiaceae
Description: partial 28S ribosomal RNA
Source: RNAcentral
UUCACUUCUUUCUGGCCUCAAAUCAGGUAA